Molecule: long non-coding RNA, 1853 nt
Organism: Paralichthys olivaceus (Japanese flounder)
Lineage: Eukaryota; Metazoa; Chordata; Actinopteri; Pleuronectiformes; Paralichthyidae
Source: RefSeq, a predicted model, not a curated record
AGAGAGCGCCCCCUGCAGGGAGUGAGCUGACGACCAUUGGAACGAGUGAUGUGCGCCAUGUUGGAGAAGAGGAGCCGUUUCACCGCGCGACGCCUCAGAGAAACUCCGUUCGGAGGUGAGCCAGGAAGGACGAGCGACUCGGACGGAGCACGGUGUGGCCAGCUGUGGCAUCCCUUUCCAAGAACCCCAGACAUCAUCUCACUUCACKCCGACACAGAUAAGAAAAUCACACAAUAUCUUUACAUACACACCACAGAACGGACUGAACUCUUAACUUAUGAUAAAGAAGAAAGGACACUUUUAUUUAAACUUUAUUUUAUUAUGAAAGAGCUGUAUUUGUUUGUAUUUUUYAYGUUUCAUACACUGCCAGAGGUUUGCUGUGUGAAGCAAUAAAUUGUCCACUUUAGCUUCAUGCUCCCUCAUUUGGAUAACUUAGUGGUCCAACUCACCAAACUUAGUAAGAGUGUAGGUGCCAAUAGUGUGUUCCUUCUAGUCAGGCUAAGGGCGCUACAUAAAACUUGGCGAGCCAGCCAGGAGUUGGUUGAAAUUUUUGGAACGUGAGGUUGAGCAGUGGGAAAUUUUAUUGCAUUUUAUUCCUGUGAACAUUGAUAUCAAUUAACUCACAUAAGACUGUGGUACUAAUACAAACACGGAUACAGUUAUUGAGUCACUUUUACUAUUACUAAUUACAAUAUCGCAGUAAUAAUUAUGAUAUCAAAUGUGCCCGUUAUCAAUCCCUGUUAAUGAGGGAGUUUUUCUCUCCACAGUCUCCAAAGAGCUCCUCAUUGUGGGAACUGUUGGGUUUCUCUUUAUUUUGAUUUUACGGUCCUGACCUUCUAUGUAAAGUGCCUUGAGAUAAUAUACAUUAUGAUUUGGCGCUAUACAGAUACAAUUGAAUUGAAUUAUAUCUGAAAAUGUUAAAGUGGCCAAUUCACUGCUUGUAAGUGGUGUAACUGGUAGUGAUGUAGAUGAUGAAGUAUUUGCUUACUUGGGACAGUAUGGUAAGAUUGAGAGGGUAAUUAAAGUUACCAGCAGUAAAACUAAGUCCCAACACACAGCUAUAGUGGAAUAUAGUUCAGGUGGAGCCAUUGAGUAUCUUUAAGAUGCCCUACCUGUUGAUAGACCCUCCAGUAACCUGAACAUUGUCCACUACAUUGAGCUCUUGUCUGAGCUGUACACAGCAGACAGAGGUUCCACCUUAACUCAGACUUACCUAAGUGUACUGAAGGAUGUCGCUCAGCUAAGCGGAGCAGAUUUUGAAAAGGUUUUGCUAGAUGAACUAGCUAGGAUUCAGGAGUCCACCAUCUUUCAUUAUAAUUGUACAAUGUGUUUCUGUUGCUUUGUCCUGUACACGUGACAUCCAUUGCACGUCUGUCCGUCCUGGGAGAGGGAUCCUGGAAAAACUGUAACAGAUGGAGACCCGAAUGACUCCACACGGAGGUCAGAAAGGUCACGACAGCCCCCUGAGUUAGGGAAAGCUUUAAUGUCUUUUGCACAGAGAAUUUUACAGAGCUUUAACCAAGCACUAGACACUAUCGGUGACUAUGACAGCCCCCAGAUAAACCAGAGAUCAGCUCAUGAAGGGACUCAUGCAGAUUCAAGAGGGGAGGGUGGAACCCACAUGGGUAUUUAACCCAUUUAUGUAAUUUAAGAGUGUUUACCACGCCCCACCACAAGGCGGCGCAUCAGCUUUACUCAUUGUCAUGGUCAACAGUGAUAGCGCCCUUUGACCCGAGACGCUGCCCAGAGAGCGCCCCCUGCAGGGAGUGCGCUGACGACCAUUAGAACGAGUGAUGUGCGCCAUGUUGGAGAAGAGGAGCCGUUUCACCGCGCGACCCCUCAGAGAAACUCCG